Molecule: ribosomal RNA, 234 nt
Filed under: uncultured bacterium
Lineage: Bacteria
Description: partial 16S ribosomal RNA
Rfam family: Bacterial small subunit ribosomal RNA
Source: RNAcentral
UGGCGGACGGGUGAGUAAUGUCUGGGAAACUGCCUGAUGGAGGGGGAUAACUACUGGAAACGGUAGCUAAUACCGCAUAACGUCGCAAGACCAAAGAGGGGACCUUAGGGCCUCUUGCCAUCGGAUGUGCCCAGAUGGGAUUAGCUAGUAGGUGGGGUAAAGGCUCACCUAGGCGACGAUCCCUAGCUGGUCUGAGAGGAUGACCAGCCACACUGGAACUGAGACACGGUCCAG